AAGGGCACCACAAGAACGCGUGGAGCAUGUGGCUUAAUUUGACUCAACGCGGGAAAUCUUACCGGGUCCGGACACACUGAGGAUUGACAGGCAAUAUUAAUACGUUGUUAGUUUCGCGACUCAGCACGUAUUAUGUUAAAUAUGCUAGUCCUUUCAUGAUUAUGUGAUAGGUGGUGCAUGGCCGUUCUUAGUUCGUGGAGUGAUCUGUCUGCUUAAUUGCGUUUCACUAAGGGCUUAUAAAUUUACGUGUGUUGCGGCACUUUGACCCCUUUCAAUUUAUUUUGAAAGCGCGUGUCUUAGUUUGCUUUGCUCACACAAUUAAGUCCUGAAAGCAACGAACGUGACCGCAACCUCUUGUUGCCUUUAUACCAAACAUGUUUAUUUAUAUAUAUAUUUUUUUAUAUAUAUAUGCAGUAUUCAUGAAAAAAGGCUUUUUAAACUAGAGGGACCGCUGUUACUUUCUUAAACCAGAGGAAGGUUGCGGCAAUAACAGGUCUGUGAUGCCCUUAGAUGUUCCGGGCUGCACACGUGCUACAAUGAUUAUUGCAGUGAGCAUCUCAUUUUUACACACCGCAUGCGCGAGUCCAUUUAUUCACUCUCUGAGUGUUUUAAAUGUGUAUCUCUGCGCGCGGUAAAGCCUGCUUCGAGAGCAAGUGGGUAAUCAAUUAGAAGUAAUGAUUUCCGUAUUAGCACACAUAUAUACGGCAUCUUUACCCGGGUUACCUUGUUGUAACUUUUGUGCGUAUAGAUGUUUUUUCCGUAUGUGCGAUUGUCAAUUCAUGGUGGGGACAGACCAUUGUUAAUUGUUGGUCUCGGUCUUAACUAGGAAUGCCUUGUACGGGUCUUUGGUUCAACAAACCACCCGGAAUACGUCCCUGCCCUUUGUACACACCGCCCGUCGCUCUUACCGAUGGACUUCUCUGUGAGUUUGAGGGACUGGGAACGCAGCAAAAUUUUAUUAUUUUCUCGCACACCUAUGGAAACUUAAACGAACAGUGUGGUCUAAAGGAAAGAGAAGUCGAACAAGGCA
Molecule: ribosomal RNA, 1030 nt
Filed under: Hanzawaia sp. 6782
Lineage: Eukaryota; Foraminifera; Rotaliida; Anomalinidae
Description: bacterial SSU rRNA
Rfam family: Eukaryotic small subunit ribosomal RNA
Source: RNAcentral